UCCCUAGUGGUCCAGUGGAUAAGACUGCUCUCCCAAUGCAGGGGGUCCAGGUUCGAUUCCUGGUCAGGGAA
Bos taurus (domestic cattle) is the source of this 71-nucleotide non-coding RNA. The record is from Rfam. NCBI's taxonomy places the organism in Eukaryota, Metazoa, Chordata, Mammalia, Artiodactyla, Bovidae.